This 253-nucleotide ribosomal RNA is filed under the name uncultured bacterium. RNAcentral describes it as "partial 16S ribosomal RNA". It matches the Rfam family "Bacterial small subunit ribosomal RNA", at positions 524 to 776 of the family's 1533-position model. The record is from RNAcentral.
UACAGAGGUCUCAAGCGUUGUUCGGAUUCAUUGGGCAUAAAGGGUGCGUAGGCGGCGCGGUAAGUCGGGUGUGAAAUUUCGAGGCUUAACUUCGAAACUGCAUUCGAUACUGCCGUGCUUGAGGACUGGAGAGGAGACUGGAAUUUACGGUGUAGCGGUGAAAUGCGUAGAUAUUGGGAAGAACACCGAUGGCGAAGGCAGCCAUCUGGACCGACACUGACGCUGAGGCGCGAAAGCGUGGGGAGCAAACAGG